This is a long non-coding RNA of Vidua macroura (Pin-tailed whydah), 810 nucleotides long. RefSeq lists it as uncharacterized. The record is from RefSeq and is a predicted model, not a curated record. NCBI's taxonomy places the organism in Eukaryota, Metazoa, Chordata, Aves, Passeriformes, Viduidae. The transcript has 3 exons.
AGGGUGUUGCUCUGUAGGACUUACUCUCCACAGACUGAGAAGGACAGACAAACACAGUCACUGGUGGCAUCUUAAGCUGCAGGGAGCACAAGGCAAUGAAGCUCAGGAUUUGGAGGAAGUCUGGAAAUAAAACUGCAGAACUAGGGUUCUAGACUUUGCAGAGAACAGACCUGGUUAUUCAAGGAAUUGCUAAGCAAAGUCCUCUGUGAAGCAGCCAUGCAGCAGCAGGGUAUCCAACAGAGCUGGGUGACUCCUUCAAAGUGAACUCAUUGAUGGAUUGUGAACAAGGCAGAACCUUCUCCCUGAUCUCUGCCAGUAUCAGAACAGUUCAGGAAGGAGCCAGUGCUGUGAGAACAAGCUAGAAACUGCUUCAUCUGGACAUAUUCAUAUUCCUGGGACUGACCUAAAGGUGCUGGAAACGUUGGCUGCUGUAGUUGCCUUCCUGGCUGCUGUGAUUCCAAGACUGCUGUGUAUUGUCUGUGAAAAAUAUUGAUGAAUGGAAAAAGCAAACAAUAAAGUCAUGUUCAAGAAUGGCAAGAAAUAGGAUCUGGAAUGCUAUCAGCUGCUGGCUUACCUCAGUCCCUGCAAAGAUUAUGGUGCAUGAUCCUCUCUUGGAACCCAUUUCUAAAUUCAAACAGGACAAGGAGGGAUAACAGAGGAUUUUCUGAAAAACUACUGGAAUAAGAGACAAAAUUGCCAUUAUGAACAAGGAGAAGUGGAUAAUGAGCUAUGGCACACAUUAGGAAGGUGUGGUCAAACAAUUGGAGGAAUUUAUUAUAACCCUCUGCAUGGCUCUGGUGAGACUACGUC